RNAcentral lists this ribosomal RNA (253 nucleotides) under uncultured bacterium. Its description in RNAcentral is "partial 16S ribosomal RNA". It matches the Rfam family "Bacterial small subunit ribosomal RNA", at positions 524 to 777 of the family's 1533-position model. The record is from RNAcentral.
UACGAAGGGGGCUAGCGUUGCUCGGAAUCACUGGGCGUAAAGCGCACGUAGGCGGAUUGUUAAGUCAGGGGUGAAAUCCUGGAGCUCAACUCCAGAACUGCCUUUGAUACUGGCGAUCUCGAGUCCGGGAGAGGUGAGUGGAACUGCGAGUGUAGAGGUGAAAUUCGUAGAUAUUCGCAAGAACACCAGUGGCGAAGGCGGCUCACUGGCCCGGUACUGACGCUGAGGUGCGAAAGCGUGGGAGCAAACAGGG